This 469-nucleotide ribosomal RNA is filed under the name uncultured bacterium. RNAcentral's name for it is "partial 16S ribosomal RNA". It matches the Rfam family "Bacterial small subunit ribosomal RNA", at positions 27 to 507 of the family's 1533-position model. The record is from RNAcentral.
GGACGAACGCUGGCGGCGUGCUUAACACAUGCAAGUCGAACGGAAAGGCCCUGCUUUUGUGGGGUGCUCGAGUGGCGAACGGGUGAGUAACACGUGAGUAACCUGCCCUUGACUUUGGGAUAACUUCAGGAAACUGGGGCUAAUACCGGAUAGGAGCUCCUGCUGCAUGGUGGGGGUUGGAAAGUUUCGGCGGUUGGGGAUGGACUCGCGGCUUAUCAGCUUGUUGGUGGGGUAGUGGCUUACCAAGGCUUUGACGGGUAGCCGGCCUGAGAGGGUGACCGGCCACAUUGGGACUGAGAUACGGCCCAGACUCCUACGGGAGGCAGCAGUGGGGAAUAUUGCACAAUGGGCGGAAGCCUGAUGCAGCAACGCCGCGUGCGGGAUGACGGCCUUCGGGUUGUAAACCGCUUUCGCCUGUGACGAAGCGUGAGUGACGGUAAUGUGUAAAGAAGCACCGGCUAACUACGUG